UGGGGGAUAUUGCACAAUGGGCGAAAGCCUGAUGCAGCGACGCCGCGUGGGGGAUGAAGGCCUUCGGGUUGUAAACUUCUUUUGCUCUGAACAAGGCAUGCUAAUGGGUGUGUUGAGUGUAGGGGUUGAUUAGCGCCGGCUAACUACGUGCCAGCAGCCGCGGUAAUACGUAGGGCGCGAGCGUUGUCCGGAAUUAUUGGGCGUAAAGGGCUUGUAGGUGGCUGGUUGCGUCUGUCGUGAAAGCUCAUGGCUUAACUGUGGGUUUGCGGUGGGUACGGGCUGGCUUGAGUGCAGUAGGGGAGGCUGGAAUUCCUGGUGUAGCGGUGGAAUGCGCAGAUAUCAGGAGGAAUACCGGUGGCGAAGGCGGGUCUCUGGGCUGUUACUGACACUGAGGAGCGAAAGCAUGGGGGGCGAACAGG
This 419-nucleotide ribosomal RNA is filed under the name bacterium. RNAcentral's name for it is "partial 16S ribosomal RNA". It matches the Rfam family "Bacterial small subunit ribosomal RNA", at positions 355 to 776 of the family's 1533-position model. The record is from RNAcentral.